GGAGUGGCAGACGGGUGAGUAACGCGUGGGAACGUACCCUUUCCUGCGGAAUAGCUCCGGGAAACUGGAAUUAAUACCGUAUACGCCCUACGGGGGAAAGAUUUAUCGGUAAAGGAUCGGCCCGCGUUGGAUUAGCUAGUUGGUGGGGUAAAGGCCUACCAAGGCGACGAUCCAUAGCUGGUCUGAGAGGAUGAUCAGCCACAUUGGGACUGAGACACGGCCCAAACUCCUACGGGAGGCAGCAGUGGGGAAUAUUGGACAAUGGGCGCAAGCCUGAUCCAGCCAUGCCGCGUGAGUGAUGAAGGCCUUAGGGUUGUAAAGCUCUUUCACCGGAGAAGAUAAUGACGGUAUCCGGAGAAGAAGCCCCGGCUAACUUCGUGCCAGCAGCCGCGGUAAGUUCUGGGGGGCUAGCGUUGUUCGGAAUUACUGGGCGUAAAGCGCACGUAGGCUGACAUUUAAGUCAGGGGUGAAAUCCGAGAGCUCAA
Molecule: ribosomal RNA, 485 nt
Filed under: Rhizobium sp. LT91
Lineage: Bacteria; Pseudomonadati; Pseudomonadota; Alphaproteobacteria; Hyphomicrobiales; Rhizobiaceae
Description: bacterial SSU rRNA
Rfam family: Bacterial small subunit ribosomal RNA
Source: RNAcentral